CCUACGGGAGGCAGCAGUGGGGAAUUUUGGACAAUGGGCGCAAGCCUGAUCCAGCCAUGCCGCGUGCAGGAUGAAGGCCUUCGGGUUGUAAACUGCUUUUGUACGGAACGAAAAGACUCUGGUUAAUACCUGGGGUCCAUGACGGUACCGUAAGAAUAAGCACCGGCUAACUACGUGCCAGCAGCCGCGGUAAUACGUAGGGUGCGAGCGUUAAUCGGAAUUACUGGGCGUAAAGCGUGCGCAGGCGGUUAUAUAAGACAGAUGCGAAAUCCCCGGGCUCAACCUGGGAACUGCAUUUGUGACUGUAUAGCUAGAGUACGGCAGAGGGGGAUGGAAUUCCGCGUGUAGCAGUGAAAUGCGUAGAUAUGCGGAGGAACACCGAUGGCGAAGGCAAUCCCCUGGGCCUGUACUGACGCUCAUGCACGAAAGCGUGGGGAGCAAACAGGAUUAGAUACCCUGGUAGUCCACGCCCUAAACGAUGUCAACCGGUUGUUGGGUCUUCACUGACUCAGUAACGAAGCUAACGCGUGAAGUUGACCGCCUGGGGAGUACGGCCGCAAGGUUGAAACUCAAAGUGUAAGUGCGNGAGAGAGCGACGACGACGACGAGGAGGGAGGAG
RNAcentral lists this ribosomal RNA (619 nucleotides) under uncultured bacterium. Its description in RNAcentral is "bacterial SSU rRNA". It matches the Rfam family "Bacterial small subunit ribosomal RNA", at positions 338 to 947 of the family's 1533-position model. The record is from RNAcentral.